UACGUAGGGUGCGAGCGUUGUCCGGAAUUAUUGGGCGUAAAGAGCGUGUAGGCGGCCUUACAGGUCAGCUGUGAAAACUCGAGGCUCAACCUCGAGACGUCGGUUGAAACCGUAUGGCUAGAGUCCGGAAGAGGAGAGUGGAAUUCCCGGUGUAGCGGUGAAAUGCGCAGAUAUCGGGAAGAACACCCGUGGCGAAAGCGGCUCUCUGGAACGGUACUGACGCUGAGACGCGAAAGCGUGGGGAGCGAACCGG
RNAcentral lists this ribosomal RNA (253 nucleotides) under uncultured bacterium. RNAcentral's name for it is "partial 16S ribosomal RNA". It matches the Rfam family "Bacterial small subunit ribosomal RNA", at positions 524 to 776 of the family's 1533-position model. The record is from RNAcentral.